This is a long non-coding RNA of Gallus gallus (chicken), 467 nucleotides long. RefSeq lists it as uncharacterized. The record is from RefSeq and is a predicted model, not a curated record. NCBI's taxonomy places the organism in Eukaryota, Metazoa, Chordata, Aves, Galliformes, Phasianidae. The transcript is spliced from 2 exons.
UGACUUCACAUUGGAGCAGGCAGCUUAGGCAGCAUAUCCUGCUCCAGAAAGCAGCAUUUUUCUAGCAGACAGAUUCUGUAACUUGACAGACAGGAUGAAAGCACAAGAGAUUUCACAGCUCUUACCACAAGAAUGUCAACUGUGAUGGGCAGCUCAGACAGCCUCUUCAGACUCUUCAGCAGCUACAGAGACAAGGAGGAAAGCAUUCAGACUUCUCAGACUGAAACAUGUACUAUGAUUAGAAAGGAAAGCUCUGCACAAAGCUUGUUAGAAAGAUCCAGAGAACUGCAACUUAACUUUGGCUUACAGUGUUGGUAGCAAAGCCAUUACGCAGCCCUGUGGCACAAGAAGCUGAUGGAAAGACUUAGAAACUUGUGACUCAGAAGUGGCCCUGAGAAGUGCAUCCCUUGGCAAGGGAGAGACAAGUUAAAUAAAUGAGAUAACUUCAUGAGGUUCUGCAAACCAGA